This is a non-coding RNA of Callithrix jacchus (white-tufted-ear marmoset), 1513 nucleotides long. Lineage: Eukaryota; Metazoa; Chordata; Mammalia; Primates; Cebidae. The record is from RefSeq and is a predicted model, not a curated record.
AAGAGUUCAUACUGAGCAUCAAGUCGGGGCAGCGAACCUCCCAGGUCUGCAGCUCCAGCGGUCUCGCCUUAGCGACCGUCCACUUAGGAUGGAGGUGAACUCACAGAGUAACCGAGACAGGGUCUUGCCAUGUCACUCAAGCUGACCUGCAGUGGUGUGGCGUGAUCAUGGCUCACUGCAACCUUGAACUCCUGGACUCCAAAUAUCUGGGACCACAAGCAGGCACUGCCUCACCAGGCUAAUUUUUUAACUUUUUUUUUCUAUUUUUUGGUAAAGACGGGGUCUUGCUGAGUUACCCAGGCUAGUUUGGCUUCAAGUGAUCCUCUCACUUUGGCCUCCCAAAGUUCUAGGAUUAGCACCCACCUGGUUGGAACAUUUAUACAAAGCAAUGCACAAGCGGCAACAAAGGCAAAAGGAGGCUGGCGGGCUUGGAGAAACGCCCUGCAAUACCUAUGCAGAGGUUCUCCCACUUCAGUGAUACAAAUCCUCUACUGAGGAACCAGUUCCUGCACCAGUCGCAGGAAUGACACUGGGACAGAUUCCCUGGAGGGUGGAUCAUAAAGCUGCAGUUUUACCAGGGGUCCUGCUGUUGGGGCAGCUGGCUCAAGGACCAAGCCCAAAGAAGACAUUGAGAGGAAGGCUGCAUGCCAGGGUGUAGGAGUAAUGACCAGGAUCAGUGCACCAACUGGCCCCACUGUGUCAUUAAAAUGCCCUGCAAUGGAAUCCAUCCUGGUCAGGCAGGGGAGUGUGCCUCCAGCAAAGGACCAGGUGUUUCACUGCAUAUGCAGCAGGUGUUGCUUAGUGAAGACAAACCCAAAAUGACAAGUUUGUUAGCUGAUGUGAUCCUGCAAAUGAAUCUACCCACCAAGGAGGAUUUUCUCCCUCUACUAGUAAAACUGAGACCUUGUCACUAGAAGUUCAGGUAAGUCCACAGUGCUCACCUUCCAAAACCACACCUAUUUCCAGUGGUGAUGGUUUGUGCCACAGGCCAAGUCCUGAACAUCAUGACGCUCAGACACUCUUCACUGAAGACAUGUGGACAGACCCUGGGGCCACCAUUUUCUCCUCUCUGGAGUGUUGGAGCAGCUCUGACCAGAACAGGACCCCCAUGCCUAGAAGCAGGGUGAGCCCUGGCUCAUGGGGGACCCUGCUGGGCUUGGCCAUUGCCACCUAGAGAUCAGGCAGCCUUGUUUCUUCCUACUUUCUCCAGGAGAAGAGAAAACUUUUCUAAUGGUGUGAUGGAGCACAGAGCACCUGCCAAAAGGCCUUCCUUCAGUCCUGGUCAGAGGCCCAACCACCAGUCUGUCUUAGUGCCUAAUCAAACAUUUAGAUUUAGGUUUUAGAUAUUGCCUGUUUUUACUUGAAAUUCUUGACUUAGAAUUAUUCCCAGUGGGGCCAGGUGUAGUGGCUCAUGGAAACAAAUUUAAAAUAAUCAGAUUAGCAUGUCAAAAGAUCUCACGUUACAGAAAGUGAAGAUCUAAGACCAAAUAAAUACUGAUCAAAAAUAAAGACA